This 363-nucleotide ribosomal RNA is filed under the name uncultured Glomeraceae. RNAcentral's name for it is "partial large subunit ribosomal RNA". The record is from RNAcentral. Lineage: Eukaryota; Fungi; Glomeromycota; Glomeromycetes; Glomerales; Glomeraceae.
CAGUCGUACCGACGAGAAAUCAACUUAUCGUGUGCGAACUUGUGGGCGUGCGUGAGUUUCGGCCUCGCUGUUUGCAUGUUUGUGCGCUUUGGGUGUACUUUUUCGUAUGGUAGGCCAACGUCAGUUUCGAUUAUCAUAAAAUGACCGGCGGAAUGUAGCUUCGAUUUCGGUUGAAGUGUUAUAGCCUCUGGUAGAUGUGGUGAUUGGGACUGAGGAUUGCAACGAAUACCCUUUGGGCUAUCCGUCUGGCCUCUGAAAGUUGCUUGGGUGCUGAAAGCUUGCUUAUGGUUAUCUAAGUUAACGGUCAAUAGGUUAGAACGUGAUUACAUUCGUUAAGGAUGUUGGCGUAAUGGCUUUAAACGA